GUGACAGUCAAUAUGUGAACUAUAUGAAUAUUAUGUAUACUUGCCACCAGACAGUCAAUAUGUAAACAAGUCGAUUUAGAGCUCAGAUGGUACCUAGAGCAUAUUACAUGGAAUAUUUUGAACAUCCAUGUUUAAGUUCACAUAUUUCAUCUAUGUUUCCUUGACGGAUCACUUUUAAAGGGUUGUUACCCAUAUAUUUUUAUAAUAUUGUAUUUUGGUGGUUAGCAUGUUAGAUCACGUAAGCACUGAUGAUGAUUGGUCAUCCAAUCGAAAACUAGUUCUGUGAUGUAGCCCUUAUUUAAGUAUUUUCUGAUGCAAAGUGGCUCAACCAACCAAUUCCUGAGCCACCCUCCAUCUGAAAAUACUUAAAUAAGGGAUAACUUUAAUGUAAAAGCGUUUUGCUAAAAUUGUCGAUUGUGGGUUAGGCCACUUUGCAUCUCAUAGCAUCAAUAAUGCAUUUAAUAAUGCAUUAGUAAUGCAGGCUCUUGAGAAACCGAUAUAUGUACGUAGGAAAAUAGUAAUGGUCAAAAUGCUAUGAGUCGAUUAUCAAAACUAUUUAAGAUUGCUCCUUGUCGAAGAACACCAAAAUGAGAUUAGUAGGGGAAUGGGGGGCAUGACGGGGUCUCGAGGUAAGACGGGGUACCGCACACAAACAAGAAACUACACGUUGGUGAAUAGCAUGCAGUAACUCAAUAGGAAGAGUCAUUCGAUUAACGGUCCCUGCAAGAGAAACCGUGAAUGAGAGUGCACGCGUUUUUUGUUUACAAACGGAAAACUGUUUUAGCGAUCCGUUGAUCUAAUUUUGUGCAAGGACAACCAUCGUUAUUUUAAGUUACCUUUUGAGGCAAGAUGGGGUAUUGGGUGCGGGGUAUGAUGGGACAUUGGUGGUAAGUCUGGGUUAAUUUAAAUUUCUUAAUAAAUAACAUUGGAUUAUUAUUUUAGAUAAUACCAUGGUACGUACUUACAAGAAAAAAACAAAAAGAGGAGAGUGGUCGAGAGAUGCUAUGAAAACAGCCAUAGAUAAAGUGACAUCGUCAGAACCCUGGGUAGGCUGCCAGAUCUGUGGAUGUUGAGCUCACAAUGCUUGUGUUAGGGUGGACAAUGAAGAUCUGGAGCAAAUACACAUUUUUGUUUGUUUUGUGAGAAUUAAUUAGCAUCACCAUCAUGCCCCAAUUCCAUUACCCCAUCAUACCCCAUAGUAUGGGGCAAGAUGGUUUUUCAUAAUGUUCUUAUUAAUGGCUAAUUGUUGAAAAAUGUGAUAGGUUGAUUUUCCAAAGAUUGUACCAAAUCAUAGUUAGAUUAAUGACGUAACGUGCCAUCAAUUAAAAAUAGUAAUAAACGUAGUAAUUAUGUUGUA
Long non-coding RNA from Diabrotica virgifera virgifera (western corn rootworm), 1357 nucleotides. RefSeq lists it as uncharacterized. NCBI's taxonomy places the organism in Eukaryota, Metazoa, Arthropoda, Insecta, Coleoptera, Chrysomelidae. The record is from RefSeq and is a predicted model, not a curated record. The transcript is spliced from 2 exons.